AAGCAGAACCCUGAGUUCCAGUGUUACCCUAUCUUUAAGUACUUUGAGAACUGGUGCCAAGACGAGAACCGUCAUGGAGAUUUCUUCUCUGCUUUGAUGAAAGCUCAGCCUCAGUUCCUCAAUGACUGGCAAGCCAAGCUCUGGUCUCGUUUCUUCUGCCUCUCGGUUAGUAAACAUUAACUCUCUCUACUUUCAAAUAUGUUUUAAAACAUUGUCCUGACCAAUAAGAGGAUUGUUUUUCUUUUUUGCAGGUUUAUGUGACAAUGUACCUCAAUGAUUGUCAAAGAACUGAUUUCUACGAGGGUAUUGGGUUAAACACUAAGGAGUUCGAUAUGCACGUCAUCAUUGAGGUAAAGUAACUUGAAACCAGAAGAUUAAUAGUAGUAAGUAAGCUGUGUGUCUGAAAAUGUUGGAAACUUUUGUUUCAGACAAACCGAACCACGGCAAGAAUCUUUCCGGCUGUGCUGGAUGUUGAGAACCCUGAGUUCAAGAGGAAACUGGAUAGAAUGGUUGUGAUCUAUGAGAAGCUGAUGGCUGUAGGAAAAACAGAUGAUCCUUCCUUUGUCAAGAACCUCAAGAAGGUUCCUCUCAUUGCUGGUUUAGUCUCUGAGAUCUUGGCUGCUUAUCUCAUGCCUCCUGUUGAGUCUGGCUCUGUUGACUUCGCUGAGUUUGAG
This 674-nucleotide long non-coding RNA is filed under the name Brassica rapa (field mustard). RNAcentral describes it as "long non-coding RNA (BRAP_LNC005350)". Lineage: Eukaryota; Viridiplantae; Streptophyta; Magnoliopsida; Brassicales; Brassicaceae. The record is from RNAcentral.